RNAcentral lists this long non-coding RNA (510 nucleotides) under Homo sapiens (human). Its description in RNAcentral is "HSALNT0053100". The record is from RNAcentral. Lineage: Eukaryota; Metazoa; Chordata; Mammalia; Primates; Hominidae.
UGGAUGUAAAGUGAGCAAGCUAGAAACCCGAGAAGGGAGGAGAGGGAUGGGGAUCAAAUGUAUCAGAAAGGAGCUAAAUCUGAUGACAGCAAGACCAACCAGACACUCCUUUUCCUCCUUGUCCUCAGCCUACUCAACGUGAAGACAAUGAGAAGCCCUUUGUGAUGAUCCACGUCCACCUAAUGAAUAGAAGAAGAAACAGAUGGGAUUGGUGAGCAUCUAGCCAAUUUCCACCACAAAUGCUCAUUUUGGCUGCCUCCAGGCCAAAGGUAAAAACUAAAAAGCCAGAGAAUACUAAAUGUUGGCCAAGAUGAGGAAAACAGAAACUCUCAUCCUCUGCUAGUUGGAAUGAAAAUUGAUGCAACGUCCCUGGAAAACAGUUUGGUAUUACCUAGCAAAGUAGAACCUGUGCCUCCCCUACAACCCAGCAAUUCCACUCCUGGUAUACAAUCAAAAUAAACUUUUGUACUUGUAUCCCAAAUAAUAUAUACUAGAAUACCUACAUCAGCA